RNAcentral lists this ribosomal RNA (253 nucleotides) under uncultured bacterium. RNAcentral's name for it is "partial 16S ribosomal RNA". It matches the Rfam family "Bacterial small subunit ribosomal RNA", at positions 524 to 776 of the family's 1533-position model. The record is from RNAcentral.
UACAGAGGUCUCAAGCGUUGUUCGGAUUCAUUGGGCGUAAAGGGUGCGUAGGUGGCGCGGUAAGUCGGGUGUGAAAUUUCGGAGCUUAACUCCGAAACUGCAUUCGAUACUGCCGUGCUUGAGGACUGGAGAGGAGACUGGAAUUUACGGUGUAGCAGUGAAAUGCGUAGAUAUGUAAUAGAACACCGAUUGCGAAGGCAGUUCACUAAGGUUGUAUUGACACUGAGGCACGAAAGCGUGGGGAUCAAACAGG